Felis catus (domestic cat) is the source of this 633-nucleotide long non-coding RNA. RefSeq lists it as uncharacterized. The transcript has 3 exons. The record is from RefSeq and is a predicted model, not a curated record. Lineage: Eukaryota; Metazoa; Chordata; Mammalia; Carnivora; Felidae.
CAAGUAAGCUCUGCACUGUCAGCACGAGGAACCCAGUGAGGGCUCAAACUCACCAACUGUGAGAUAAUGACCUGUGCCAAAAUCAAGAGUUGGAUGCUUAACCUACUGAGCCACCCAGGUGCCUGCCACUCAGUCUGAAAUAUUAAUGAUAGCUUUUAUUUGAAAUUCUUGGCUUCGGGGUAGGAACUGUGUGUUGGAAUGAAUAAUACGUUGAAGCCUAACUCAAAAAAUUCUAGCAACUUCUAUUGCCUUCAAAAUGAAAGUCAAUUUUAGCACAUUGGCAGGAGAGAAGCUUGAAGGAAUUGAAGAAUGUUAUUACAAAACCAAGAGAUUGAAGUUAGACGGGUUGGGAGGAAUGCAUGGUAGAGACUGUUUUUGAAGGUAUAGAAAUGGAAAAGGUCAAGAGCACAACUGGAUGAAGAGGACAACCCCUAUCCCUAUUUGAUUUGAUCAGCUCUCCAGUCCCUGGGCUGGUGCCAUUCCACAUCCUAGUGAUGUCAGCACCUCCAUUGACAUCUGGCACGAUGCCUCCAGUCUGGAACCUUACAGCCAAUCAGAGUUGAUGAUAUUGUAUUAAUGGUUCCAUAAUAAAAUGAAAAAGAUGGCCUUCAUUUUGAUGAAAGCUGUAAAGUA